This 625-nucleotide ribosomal RNA is filed under the name uncultured bacterium. Its description in RNAcentral is "bacterial SSU rRNA". It matches the Rfam family "Bacterial small subunit ribosomal RNA", at positions 248 to 873 of the family's 1533-position model. The record is from RNAcentral.
GUUGGCGGGGUAACGGCCCACCAAGGCAACGAUCAGUAGGGGUUCUGAGAGGAAGGUCCCCCACAUUGGAACUGAGACACGGUCCAAACUCCUACGGGAGGCAGCAGUGAGGAAUAUUGGUCAAUGGACGAGAGCCUGAACCAGCCAAGUAGCGUGCAGGAAGACGGCCCUAUGGGUUGUAAACUGCUUUUAUAAGGGAAUAAAGUGAGUCUCGUGAGACUUUUUGCAUGUACCUUAUGAAUAAGGACCGGCUAAUUCCGUGCCAGCAGCCGCGGUAAUACGGAAGGUCCGGGCGUUAUCCGGAUUUAUUGGGUUUAAAGGGAGCGUAGGCCGGAGAUUAAGCGUGUUGUGAAAUGUAGAUGCUCAACAUCUGCACUGCAGCGCGAACUGGUUUCCUUGAGUACGCACAAAGUGGGCGGAAUUCGUGGUGUAGCGGUGAAAUGCUUAGAUAUCACGAAGAACUCCGAUUGCGAAGGCAGCUCACUGGAGCGCAACUGACGCUGAAGCUCGAAAGUGCGGGUAUCGAACGGGAUUAGAUACCCUGGUAGUCCGCACGGUAAACGAUGGAUGCCCGCUGUUGGUCUGAAUAGGUCAGCGGCCAAGCGAAAGCAUUAAGCAUCCCACC